UCCCCGGUAGCUCAGCUGGUAGUAGCACGUGGCUGUUAACCACGGUGUCGCAGGUUCGAGUCCUGCCCGGGGAGCCA
This 77-nucleotide transfer RNA is filed under the name Candidatus Omnitrophica bacterium CG02_land_8_20_14_3_00__42_8. RNAcentral describes it as "tRNA-Asn". It matches the Rfam family "tRNA". Rfam says of the family: Transfer RNA (tRNA) molecules are approximately 80 nucleotides in length. Their secondary structure includes four short double-helical elements and three loops (D, anti-codon, and T loops). Further hydrogen bonds mediate the characteristic L-shaped molecular structure. tRNAs have two regions of fundamental functional importance: the anti-codon, which is responsible for specific mRNA codon recognition, and the 3' end, to which the tRNAs corresponding amino acid is attached (by aminoacyl-tRNA synthetases). tRNAs cope with the degeneracy of the genetic code in two manners: having more than one tRNA (with a specific anti-codon) for a particular amino acid; and 'wobble' base-pairing, i.e. permitting non-standard base-pairing at the 3rd anti-codon position. Lineage: Bacteria; Pseudomonadati; Candidatus Omnitrophota. RNAcentral also lists the same sequence under 1 other name. The record is from RNAcentral.